RNAcentral lists this ribosomal RNA (253 nucleotides) under uncultured bacterium. RNAcentral's name for it is "partial 16S ribosomal RNA". It matches the Rfam family "Bacterial small subunit ribosomal RNA", at positions 524 to 776 of the family's 1533-position model. The record is from RNAcentral.
UACGUUGGUGACAAGCGUUGUCCGGAUUUACUGGGUGUAAAGGGCGCGUAGGCGGGAUAGCAAGUCAGUCGUGAAAUACCGAGGCUCAACCUCGGAGCUGCGAUUGAAACUGUUAUUCUUGAGUAUCGGAGAGGAAAGCGGAAUUCCUAGUGUAGCGGUGAAAUGCGUAGAUAUUAGGAGGAACACCAGUGGCGAAGGCGGCUUUCUGGACGACAACUGACGCUGAGGCGCGAAAGUGUGGGGAGCAAACAGG